Molecule: long non-coding RNA, 212 nt
Organism: Pteropus alecto (black flying fox)
Lineage: Eukaryota; Metazoa; Chordata; Mammalia; Chiroptera; Pteropodidae
Exons: 3
Source: RefSeq, a predicted model, not a curated record
AGGGAAGACAUCAGACCAACAGGAAGGAGUGUCCAGCACCCAUCCCUAGGUCCCUGCUUGGCGGAGCUGGGCCUAUUGUCAUCAUACAUACCAAUGCAGGAGUUUGCUGCAGUCAUCACAAUAAGAAGGACAGUGAACAACUAUUUGGUCAGAGAAGAAACAAAAAAAGAAAUCAAAAGAUACACAGAGACAAAUUAAAAUGAAAAUACCAC